Long non-coding RNA from Oryzias melastigma (Indian medaka), 700 nucleotides. RefSeq lists it as uncharacterized. The record is from RefSeq and is a predicted model, not a curated record. The transcript is spliced from 2 exons. NCBI's taxonomy places the organism in Eukaryota, Metazoa, Chordata, Actinopteri, Beloniformes, Adrianichthyidae.
GGUUGGCUCGUGCGGUCCCAAAUUUGUACUUUACCUACUGGGGCAGCUCCGCCCCUCCCCCCGUCUGUGUCCCAAAUCUCUCACAAUCGGCCUUAAAAAAUACGACACAUUUCUGCUCCUGUGGCGUCUGAACCGGACUCAACACCGUUCAUCUAGUUGUUUGUGUGUUCAGUUUGUGUUCAGUUUGUGUUCAGUUUGUUUGUUCAGUUUGUGUUCAGUUUGUGUGUUCAGUUUGUGUUCAGUUUGUGUUCAGUUUGUGUCUUCAGUUCCCGUCCUGCUGUGGUUGAUCUCUUCCUCCUCUCUCAUCCACUCGUCCUCAUGUCUUGUUUUCUUGUUGUCGUCGUCUGGAUGGUAUUCCUAAACACGUCCGUGUCUCCUAGGACAACAGAUCCUCCCUGCGGCUGCGCUCCAGCGUGGAGCUUCCUGUCUCCGGCCCAGAUGUAAUUACCAUGCUUUUAGGAGUGAAGAGCGACCGGAUGAACUCCAUCUCCUGUCUCUGCUGCAGAUGGACCGGAUCAUUCUGAUCUGGAGGUUCAGAGACGCCUGGAGGCCGAGACCCGCCGCUGCAGCCAAACGCUCAGGGACGCCCAGCAGGCAGAGCUGCUGCCGCUUUCCUCCUCCUCUCCAGUGUGUCUGCACACAAAGUUUGGUUCAGUCGCAUGGAGACACGAUAAAUAAAUGAAUCUCCAGAAUUACAUAA